This 434-nucleotide ribosomal RNA is filed under the name bacterium FB2018. Its description in RNAcentral is "bacterial SSU rRNA". It matches the Rfam family "Bacterial small subunit ribosomal RNA", at positions 28 to 455 of the family's 1533-position model. The record is from RNAcentral.
GAUGAACGCUGGCGGCGUGCUUAACACAUGCAAGUCGAACGGAGUUUAUAUGAAACCUAGUGAUUAUAAACUUAGUGGCGGACGGGUGAGUAACGCGUGGGUAACCUGCCUUAUACCGGGGGACAACAGUUAGAAAUGACUGCUAAUACCGCAUAAGCGCACGGUAUCGCAUGAUACAGUGUGAAAAACUCCGGUGGUAUAAGAUGGACCCGCGUCUGAUUAGCCAGUUGGUGAGGUAACGGCCCACCAAAGCAACGAUCAGUAGCCGGCCUGAGAGGGUGAACGGCCACAUUGGGACUGAGACACGGCCCAAACUCCUACGGGAGGCAGCAGUGGGGAAUAUUGGACAAUGGGGGAAACCCUGAUCCAGCGACGCCGCGUGAGUGAAGAAGUAUUUCGGUAUGUAAAGCUCUAUCAGCAAGGAAGAUAAUGAC